GCGCUUGCAGGCGGUCGCGGGUUUCUACCCUGUCGGUUGGGGGUUCGAGUCCCUCCGGGCGCA
This 63-nucleotide transfer RNA is filed under the name bacterium. RNAcentral's name for it is "tRNA-OTHER". The record is from RNAcentral.